Molecule: ribosomal RNA, 733 nt
Filed under: Metarthrodes laetabundus
Lineage: Eukaryota; Metazoa; Arthropoda; Arachnida; Opiliones; Gonyleptidae
Description: partial large subunit ribosomal RNA
Rfam family: Eukaryotic large subunit ribosomal RNA (bases 514-733)
Source: RNAcentral
GUUCAAGAGUACGUGAAACCGUUCGGAGGUAAACGAGUGGGCCCUCGAAGUGUGAAGGCGGGGGGACUCAGCCGAACGCCGUCGAGCCCGCCGGCGGGUCCGCGCUUCCCUCCCGGGACGCGGCCAGCCGGUGUGCCGGCUCCGGUUUGCGGCGCAUUUCCUCCCGUCCUCCGACGCCGCGACCGGUCGGGCGCGCCACGAGCAGUCGGCCUUACUCGCGGGAAACGGAAGGUAGCCGGGUCGGCGCGCACGCGCCGCCCCCCGGUGUUCUAGCCGUCCCGCAAUCGAGUCAGCCGUUCGCCCGACCGCAGGACGCAAGGCCCUCAGGGGCCCCGCCGUGCCCUCCCCGCUCUGGGGAUCGCUUCCGCCUCGGAAGGGAUGCCGCCCGUCCCCGCGUCGCACCUCCGGUGCGCGUGGGGCGGCGGCGCCCGCUGGCCGGGGCGCUCGCGAUUCGGGUGCUGGCGGUCCGCGGCGAGUAGGUCGGUCACCCACUCGACCCGUCUUGAAACACGGACCAAGGAGUUUAACAUGCACGCGAGUCACUGGGUCGUGAGCAGGCCCAAGGGCGCAAUGAAAGUGAAGGGCGGCCCAUGCCGUCCGCGUUGGGAUCCUCCGGCCUCCGCGCCGGGGGCGCACCAACGGCUCGUCCGGGCCGCCACGUCGGCCGGGCGAAGCUAGAGCGUGCACGUUGAGACCCGAAAGAUGGUGAACUAUGGCUGGGCAGGACGAAGCC